RNAcentral lists this long non-coding RNA (236 nucleotides) under Sorghum bicolor (sorghum). RNAcentral describes it as "long non-coding RNA (SBIC_LNC010311)". Lineage: Eukaryota; Viridiplantae; Streptophyta; Magnoliopsida; Poales; Poaceae. The record is from RNAcentral.
UUGGAGUUUUUUUAUAUUUUUGAAAGAAAGUUAGCAAACCUUUUUAUCCUCAUAGGUUCUCUCAGAUCACUCAUUAUCUUUUAUAUAUAUCUCACUGAGGUUGUUUUAAUUUGCAAAAAUUCUCAAGCAUACUUACUUUGUAUUUAUUGCCUGAUCAAAACGGGAUCCGAGGAGGGGAAUGUCAUACUCUUAGAUCAAAGACUUUGGAAAUUAAAAUCUUUGUCAACUCUUGCUGG